UACGAAGGGGGCUAGCGUUGCUCGGAAUCACUGGGCGUAAAGGGCGCGUAGGCGGCCGAUUAAGUCGGGGGUGAAAGCCUGUGGCUCAACCACAGAAUUGCCUUCGAUACUGGUUGGCUUGAGACCGGAAGAGGACAGCGGAACUGCGAGUGUAGAGGUGAAAUUCGUAGAUAUUCGCAAAAACACCAGUGGCGAAGGCGGCUGUCUGGUCCGGUUCUGACGCUGAGGCGCGAAAGCGUGGGGAGCAAACAGG
Molecule: ribosomal RNA, 253 nt
Filed under: uncultured bacterium
Lineage: Bacteria
Description: partial 16S ribosomal RNA
Rfam family: Bacterial small subunit ribosomal RNA
Source: RNAcentral